This 261-nucleotide ribosomal RNA is filed under the name uncultured archaeon. RNAcentral describes it as "partial 16S ribosomal RNA". It matches the Rfam family "Archaeal small subunit ribosomal RNA", at positions 748 to 1009 of the family's 1478-position model. The record is from RNAcentral.
CAGCCGUAAACAAUGUGCGUUAGGUGUGUCGGUAACCACGCGUUACUGAUGCGCCGAAGAGAAAUCGUGAAACGCACCACCUGGGAAGUACGGUCGCAAGGCUGAAACUUAAAGGAAUUGGCGGGGGAGCACCACAACAGGUGGAGCCUGCGGUUUAAUUGGACUCAACGCCGGGAAGCUCACCGGAUAAGACAGCGGAAUGAUUGCCGGGCUGAAGACUCUGCAUGACUAGCUGAGAGGUGGUGCAUGGCGUAGACGUCU